RNAcentral lists this long non-coding RNA (1102 nucleotides) under Rhinopithecus bieti (black snub-nosed monkey). Its description in RNAcentral is "lncRNA (ENSRBIG00000046484.1)". The record is from RNAcentral. Lineage: Eukaryota; Metazoa; Chordata; Mammalia; Primates; Cercopithecidae.
UUUGAAAGUGGGUGAGCAGGACAUGAGGCAGAAUUCAUUCAGGAAGUAUUUCCUGAGUACCUGUGACGGGCCUAGGGACUGGGUGCCCAGGUCCUGUGUCCUGGGGACAGGAUGCCCAGGCUCUGCCUUCUCCCACUUAUAGACAGAGUGGGGCAGCCCCCUGCCACCUCUGGAUGAGCACAUAGAUGUCUCUGUAAAGCUGAGCAAAGCUGAACUCUGCAGACCUAGUGCUGGCCAAGAAGGUCUGCCAUGAAGGCAAGCACUCACCGUGAGACUCUGCCUUGAAAGCUCAUAAACCUGGGAGCCUGCUGUGCUCAGCCUCAGAAACCCCCAGGUGCCCGUGUGUCUGCCACCGCCAGCCCCCACCAUCCCCUCAGUGAUAAGAUACUGGGAGGCAGACCAUAAAAGGUGGAUUUUAUGACAACAGCUUGGUGACCAGACCAUCCCGCAGUCAGGGCUGCCUCCGCUGAGGGCGGAAGCAGGGAUGACUCAUGGAGAGGCCCCAGCAGACAGCCGAGGAAGCCUCUGACCCUGCAGUGCUGUGAGCUGGGUCAUAAUGGGACACUGGGGAGCCACAGAUGUGCCCAGAGGUAGGGAGAUGCUGUGAGUCACUCCACCCUGUCAGGCACUGGCAGGGAGUUGAGGAGUCAGAAGCAGAGAGAGCCAACACUGAGCUCGCCCGGUACCUAUGAGCAGCCAGCCUCUAAAUGGCUUACAGCUUGACAGUCCUCACACUGUGGCAGUGUAGUUUCUGGAAGCCUAUGGGGCCCAGGGACAUUCCUGUGACUGAUGCCAGUGGAUGAGGUGUGCUACAGUAGGUGAACAAGCGGCCUUCCCAGGGAAUGAAGGAGCUGCCUGUUUAGAGGAUUCUUUGUCACAUGCAUGGAAGAUUUUAGGAAAGGUAGGAGUCAUUCCAACUUUGCAAUGACGAAAAUGUGAGGAGAAAGUGUGGGAUAAGGCAGCCACUCCAGGAUGAAAGAAGGCACUGGGCAACAGCAGACGUGGGUCAGCCUAGAGAGCAGAUCCAGCCAGCUCUGGAAGAAGUUUAAUGGGAGAAGUCUGCAAGACAGGAGGAGAUAAAUUAGCACCUUUAAGAUCAAGG